UACGUAGGGUGCGAGCGUUGUCCGGAAUUAUUGGGCGUAAAGGGCUCGUAGGCGGUUUGUCGCGUCGGGAGUGAAAAACACCGGGCUUAACUCGGUGCUUGCUUUCGAUACGGGCAGACUAGAGGUAUGCAGGGGAGAACGGAAUUCCUGGUGUAGCGGUGAAAUGCGCAGAUAUCAGGAGGAGCACCGGUGGCGAAGGCGGUCUCUGGGCAUUACCUGACGCUGAGGAGCGAAAGUGUGGGAGCGAACAGG
This 252-nucleotide ribosomal RNA is filed under the name uncultured bacterium. Its description in RNAcentral is "partial 16S ribosomal RNA". It matches the Rfam family "Bacterial small subunit ribosomal RNA", at positions 524 to 776 of the family's 1533-position model. The record is from RNAcentral.